This is a long non-coding RNA of Camarhynchus parvulus, 226 nucleotides long. RefSeq lists it as uncharacterized. NCBI's taxonomy places the organism in Eukaryota, Metazoa, Chordata, Aves, Passeriformes, Thraupidae. The transcript has 3 exons. The record is from RefSeq and is a predicted model, not a curated record.
GAAAUUUUUGCUGGAAUUGAGGAAGAAAACUGUAAGAACUUCUCACAAAGACAAACAGGGUUAAGAGAGUCUUCAUUUGGAUUGGUGGCUGUGGUAUAAACUCCAGUGGAAAAUUCAGCCCUAUAAAUACAAGCAUGGUCUGAGUAUAAUUGGGUCUGCUCUAAACCAGCCUAAGAAGAGACCCAUAUAAUUUGAAGUUCACAAAGACAGCUAUCAACAAACCAGC